GACUUUACUAUCCCCUUAGCUGAGCAAGACUGAACUGUUUGCAUUUACAAUUCCUGCUGUAAACAACCUGCAGCCUGCUAAGCAUUUUCACUGGAAAGUGUUGCCACAAAGCAUGUUAAACAGUCCAACAAUUUGCCUGACGUAUGUAGGGCAAGCAAUUGAACCUACUCGUAAAAUAUUUUCACAGCAUUACAUUAUUAUGUAGAAGAUAUUCUUUUGUGCUGCCUCCACUUGGGAAAUAUUACUCCCAUGUUAUGAUCACUUGCAAAACUCGAUUUCUCAUGCCAGUUUAAUUAUAGCUUCUGACAAAAUUCAGACUACUCUUUACUCCUACUUGGGAACCUCAGUAAAUGACAUUACAAUAGUGCCACAGAAAGUAACCAUAUGUAAGGAUCAAUUGAAAACAUUUAAUGACUCAAAAAUUACUAGGGGACAUUAAUUGGAUACUACCUGAUCUAGGCAUUCCUACCUAUGCCAUGAGUAAUCUAUUUUCUAUCCUUAGAGGAGAUCCUAGUCUCAACUAACCCUCUGCAAUUAACAAAGGAGGCUGAGGCAGAGUUACAGCUAAUUGAAAAGCAAGUGCAUAAGGCUCAAAUAGAAUAGAUCCAGAGAAGAUUCUAGAUUUGCUAUUUUUUCCGACUCAACAUUCACCUACUGGUGUUAUUGUUCAACAGCAAGACUUAGUAGAAUGGCUUUUUCUGAAAACAAAAUUUUGAUAUCAAAAAUUGGAUUCUCCCUAGAAUAACUAAAUUUGAACCAAUUGAAGGUGCUGAAAAUAUUUUUAACAAAUGAGUCUAGUAAUGGUAAAAGCUUCUUAUUCUGGAUCAAAAAGUUAAAGUUUUUCAGACACCCUAUACUUCAAGCUCAAAAAGCAGAGACUUGUAGCUAUAAUUGAGGUGCUGGCUGCUUUUGAGAUGCCUGUCAAUGUAAUUUCUGAUUCUUCAUAUGUG
Molecule: long non-coding RNA, 950 nt
Filed under: Pan troglodytes (chimpanzee)
Lineage: Eukaryota; Metazoa; Chordata; Mammalia; Primates; Hominidae
Description: long non-coding RNA NONPTRT012940
Source: RNAcentral